ACACUGCUGAGGAGUCCCAAAAUAGGACUUAACGGCCGUCCAGUGA
Schistosoma rodhaini is the source of this 46-nucleotide non-coding RNA. The record is from Rfam. NCBI's taxonomy places the organism in Eukaryota, Metazoa, Platyhelminthes, Trematoda, Strigeidida, Schistosomatidae.